RNAcentral lists this long non-coding RNA (2315 nucleotides) under Equus caballus (horse). Its description in RNAcentral is "lncRNA (ENSECAG00000047950.1)". Lineage: Eukaryota; Metazoa; Chordata; Mammalia; Perissodactyla; Equidae. The record is from RNAcentral.
CUGCAAACUGGAGGGUUGGUUGGAAAUUUGAAUAUGGAGCAGUUAACACCCCUAGAACCCUGUCAAGUCUGGGCAGGCUGGCGACUGCUGCCCCUCCCCCAUGCACCCUAGUGGAGAGCUGGGGGCUUGGGCUGCAGGGGGAGUUCAUCCAGAGAGGCUCUGAACUGGGAGACGCCUCAGUGAGAAUGCUUACAUCCACACGCUUUUCCAUACGCUGCCCCCAAAACGCUUUGUCAGUCUCUCACCUCCUGGCUUGAGAAUAAAGGAUUUCUCUCUAAGGAAACCAACCAAGCCAAUGGCAAAGACCUACAGAUACUGCCAUCUGGGGCUCCCAGUGGACCAGCUGGACCCCCAGCCCAGCACCCUACAGCGAGGCCCACAGUGGGCGAGUCCUUCCCGCACAAGGAAAGCUCCCCAGUCAGACCUGAGUGCCCCGCUCUUCAAUGUGAGUGGACAGCUGAGGAUCACUUAGGCCUCUGAGGAAAGUCUGCGCUUGAAAGUUACCCGAAUAAACAGAAGGUGAGAAGCAGGAAGGAAGGGACUUAAGGCAGGGAGAAAACUUUUUAAAAGAGUAAUUGAUAUUCCCAGAAAACUAAGAGAAGAUACCACAUCCAAAAAGUAAGGAACAAUAUUUCAUGUAAUUUUUUCCCCAGCUUUUUUUGUUGUGACUGCUGUCGAACUGAUUCCGACUCCUAGCGACCCUGUGGACAGCAGACUGCAACCCUGCCUGGGUUUUUGGUGCCAUCUCUCCCCUUCCGGCGCUAUAUCAGACAAUGAAUGCUCGACUGCUAUUUGUGGGGUCUUUUGGAAGUGGGUGACCAGGCCCUUUGUCCCAGUCUGUCUGAGUCUGGAAAUCCUGCUGAAGCCUGUCUACCACACCACAGUGUGACAACUGACAGACAGGUGGUGUGGCUCUCUGACUGGAAACAAACCCGGGCAACGGCAAUGAGAGUGCCAGAUCUUAACCCCUGGACCAUCUUUCCACCUUUACCGAAGACAUAACUGGCAUACGACAUUGUGCGGAGGGACGGGAUGGAUCCCGACCAGGAGGUCCUGCCUGGAGCCUCAGGCUGUAAGCUCGUGUUAUAGUCACUCAGCAUCUAUUAAGCAUCUGCCAUGGGCCAGGCCCUCUUCUCAGCACUGGGAACACAUCAAUGGACCAAAGAGACAAAGCCCCGACUUGGUGGAUCUAUAUUCUAGUGUUUAUCUUUGAAGCCUCACGUUUUACUCGAAACCAUCACAGAAGGAGCUGCCACCUGAAGGGACACAGCCCCGCCUGGAGGAGAGCAGAACCUGGGAAGGGGGCAAGUUCAAAGGCACUGGAGACCCAGAGACGACUGCAGAGGUGAGAUGCCCGUCCUCAUGGAGCUGCCCUCGAGUAGGGGCGUCACAGGACAAACCCGUAAACCUGUUACCCACUUUAACAAGAUAAUUCCGACUGGUGAGAAGCACCAUGAAGAAAGCAAAGCAGAGUCAUCGGAUGGAGCGUGAUGGACAGAGGCCACUUUUGGAAGGUCCUUCUAGGCAGGUACCAUUUCAUUGGCUGAGAACUGAAGGAUGAGAAAGAGGUGGCCCAGGCCGGGGGAGUGGCGUGUGCAAAGGCCUGGGGGUGGGACGAGUUGGCUCUCAAGAGAUUGUGUGUGAGAGAACUGUGGGAUUUGGAGAGUUAAGCGUGUCAAAGGAGCAAGGAACAUCUGAGCUUGAAGGUCACAGGAGACACCUGAGCCAAUACGCUGGGCUCUGAGGCUCAGCAGCAAAGGCAAGCAGACAGUGGAAGGUCUGGAGUCGGGGGCAAAAGUGAGGCAUGCAAGAGACAACUGGGGGAGGCUCUAGGCUUUUACGUCCGAAACAACGGGUUACUGCCUGUUGACUGUGUGCUGGGCACCAGAGACGCAAUCAGCAAAGCCAGUUCCCACCCCGAAGGGGCACCUGGCCUCAUGCAAAGACGUCUGGUCUGCAGGGUGUGAGCAGAGGGGACCCAAGGACACACGAGAACUUUCCAGAGCAAUCUCCAGCAGAACAGGCAUGGGGUUUGUCCUGUGCAACUCCAGAGAGCAGGGGCAGGUGGGCUAUGCAGCCCCCCGAGGAAUUAAAGCUGCCUGAAAACGAGAUGGGCCACCGGGGGAGGUGACAUUUUGGGAGCCUUUCAAGCCAAUGCUAAUGGACUACUCAUGGGGGAUGGUGUGGACUGACGGUUCCCAAAGGGUGUGCCAUGGAACACUAGUCCGAGACGCUCCAUGAGGAAACUUCCCCAACCACAUAAAUUUGGGAUACACUUCCUGCUAUUUACUACUUCUGGUAAUUUUAUAAUGCAU